GAUGAAGAACGCAGCGAAAUGCGAUAAUUAAUGUGAAUUGCAGAAUUCCGUGAAUCAUCGAGUCUUUGAACGCACAUUGCGCCUCAUGGCAUUCCGUGAGGCAUGCCCAUCUCAGCGUUAGAAAAUAUUCUCAAAUUUUAGUUUUGUGCUAAAAUUUGGAUCAUGUCAAGGAAGCUAUUACUAUUAUUGUGAUCGCUCUUUGGAAAUUGAUAGGUCUUUGAGUUGCUACUCAUAGAACGUGAUGAAUCUUUCUUCGUUCUAUUGUAAUUCACGCUGGUAGUCCUAAAACUUGUAUGCCUGUGGCAUAUCUUGUAAUUUGACCUGAGAUUGGGUAGGGAUACCCGCUGAACUUAAGCAUAUCAAUAAGCGGAGGA
Molecule: unclassified non-coding RNA, 374 nt
Filed under: soil metagenome
Description: partial contains internal transcribed spacer 2 and large subunit ribosomal RNA
Rfam family: 5.8S ribosomal RNA (bases 1-120)
Source: RNAcentral